RNAcentral lists this long non-coding RNA (6376 nucleotides) under Vigna radiata. Its description in RNAcentral is "long non-coding RNA (VRAD_LNC005254)". The record is from RNAcentral. Lineage: Eukaryota; Viridiplantae; Streptophyta; Magnoliopsida; Fabales; Fabaceae.
ACUGCUUCCCGGGCUAUUAAAAAAAACAGCCAUCGUCGACGAAGCUGGUCACCGUGGUUCUCGCCGGAAUUUGUUUCCUCAUCGACACCACCAGCACCACUCUCCCUUCUCCAUUCACUAGUCCUCUUCCUCAAAUGCCAAACGCCUCCAGCAACAUCACCGCCGAUACCGAGGACGAAAACACUUUUCCUUCUCUUCUUCUAAUUUUUUCUUGAAUGCUGCUCUGUUGAUUAGUUUCUUCUAUUGUUUGGUGUUUUGUGUACUGAGAUUGGGAAUGAUAAGUGUGUGUUGGGUGCUGGAAAUUGGUCUUUGUUCUUGGUGAUUGGAUUUUGUUUCUGUGGCUUUGUGCAGUGCAGGUUGAAGACGAUGGUGUUAUGCUUGAGUUGGGAUAGAGGUUUCAAUGGGUAAAUGGAAUGGUUUUGAUGAAGAUGAAAAUACUGUUUUGGUGUUGUUCUUUCCGUUGUUCCUUUCUGGUGAGUAUCUGGCUUAAUGAUUCAACCUCAUUAUUAAUGAUUGGGGAUGGACAGAGGCAUGGGGGGACAUAGUUUUAUUGUCUGUUAUGGUUUAUAGUUGAUCAAAGUUUGAGGUCUUGCGUAAAAAGAUGGAAGUUUGGCUGUUGGUUGAGGGGGUGAACUUGCUUGGGAUGAGAGAAAUAGGACCGUAAAAGUGGACAUGGGGAAGGUGACGAUGGACAUUUCUAAAUGUCCACCAUGCUAGGAACGUGUUAAACAACAAUCAUGCAAACAUAGCAACAAAGUAACAAAGAUAUGUUCAAGAGCAAGUAAACAACUUACCAAAACAUAGAGUGCAGAGUAAUGUUUACCUCUUGGAGAUGCGUUUACUAUUAUCAACCUUGUGAUAGGAGUUCCCUCCUCCAGCAAUGGAUGAUGAUCUAUGACGGUGAUCAGUCUCCAAAUGCUCUCGAUGAUGUGUUAAAACCCAGUACUCAAUGCUCUCCUCCGGUGCCCUGUUGUAUUCUCCUUUUUCUCAUGCCGCCUCGUCAAAAACCCGAUCCCCUCACUGUCCCAGUUCUGUUCUCUGUGUGAUUUCAUCUUUGUCUUUUUCCUUUUUUCAUGUAUUCAUUGUAUCAGUUGAACAAAAACCUCCAAAAUCUUCACUCUUUCCAUGAAUAUGAAUGUAUGCUACUCUGCUGCUUAAGAUUUUUUAGCAAGAAAUACAGAGGCAUUUUUCGCACUGCCCCGUAUAAGCACAUUUUAAGCAUUUCCUUUGUACCGCCUGAACACUCCAAAUGGGAACAGAGUUGACCUAAGAAUUUUAUUUUUCCUUUCAUUUUUUUUUUACUUUCUUCAUUUUUUCAUUUUUUCAUUUUCUUAUAUGAAAAAUAUCCCUUGGACUUAAAAUAUAAAACGAACAAAAUAAUUAAAAUAUGAAAGUACAAUACAUAAAAAGUAAACCGAAAAAAGAGAGAACAUAAAAACAAAAAUAAGACAAAAAUGAAAUAGCAUAAAACGAAAAAUGGAAUGUAAUAAAAUAAAUUAAAAUAAAAUAAAAUAAGAUAAAUAAAAUAAAAUAAGAUAAAAUAAAAUAAAUGAAAGAAAGUAAAAUGAAAUAAAAUAAAAAAAAUGACAAAUAAAAUAAAAUAAAACAAAAUAUAAUAAAAUAUAAAACUGAGAUAAAAUAAAUAAAAACGAAACCAACUGGAAAACAGGGGAUAAAAUUAAAAGGAAAGAAAACAAACAAAAAUCCCCUUUUUUUUUUAGAAUUUAUAUGAAAAUUAUCUUUGUUCCCUUUUUUUUAUUUUAUUACUUCUUAUUAACUUUAGAUAUUUUUUUUAACUAUCCGGACGAAAUUGAGUAUUGACAGUGACAUAUUUUUUUCUUCGUCUCUACAUGAGUACAACUCUUUAAGUAUGUUAUUUCUAAAGCUUUCAUGUAAGCUUUCCUUAAUGAUCUGACGUUUCUUGUAAACAACUUGCUAGACGAUAUAGGUUUCAGAGAAACACUAUUGUGUAUGUUCUUACUUUGAGAAGACUUUGUAUUAGUAUUUGGACGAUUUGCGUAGCUUCUUGUAUAAAGCCUUAUGUUUCCAUUCGACUUGAGUAAAUGCUUAGACGUUAUAGGUCAAGUAGGCACUUCUCUUCCUGAAAGGAUAUUUCGUUUAAUGUUUAUUAUUAAACUUCAAAACUUAGGCUUGUUAAACGGUCUAGUCUCUCUAGACGAUCUUGACUUAACAACUUAGAGUGUUCAUAAUCCUUCAAUCUCAUAAUAUAAACCUAUAGAAACAUAGGGAUCACUUUAUAUUACCUAUAGUCCUUCAUACAUCACACAUGCAAGAUAUUUCCUAGGAAUCAUGACUCUCAAGCUUUCAAACACAACUUCUCAAACUCUUCCAACAAAGUUUCCUCUACCUUAGGUCGAUUGACCCUGGCCGAUGGUUCACUGAAUCGGGCCUACUCGACGGUUGAGUUAGUCAGUUGUAACCAAAGGUCAAUCUAAGUCAAGUUUGUUAGAAGGCCAAGUCAGAUUGUUCCCGACCGAAGAUCGUCUGGGGUUAGCUAUAACCAAAUGUCGACUGAGUAGGCCUAAGUCUAUUGACUUAAGAUUGAUGGAAUCGAUACAUUUAAAGGUAAACAAAAUCAACCUCGACCAUGGAUUGGCCAAACAUCCCUUGAGUCAAUCUCGACUAAAGGUUAGCUCGAAUGGCCUUUGUUGGAAAACAAGUAGGCUUCUUUAUACACCAAGAGGGGGUGAAUUGGUGAUGUUUCAAAAAUAUGUUCUUUUCGCAAUCUUGCAAACAAAGUAUAAAUCCUUUUAAACUUUCUUGAAAUGCAAGCAAUCAGAAAAUGUAUGCAGCGGAAGAAACAUAGUAGACUGCGUUAGAAAUAGAGUCGACUCGAAUGUAAAAGAUAAGGGAUAGAGAAAUUUAAACAUAGGUUUUCAUACUGGUUCAGCCAACAAUGCCUACAUCCAGUGUACUUCCACCUGGAAGGAGAUGCACUAUAAUGGUUACGAUUUUUACAACAAGGAAUUCAUAGAAGACCUCCACGUCAAAAAUAUAAAUCUCCUUUCUAACCCAAAACCAAAAUAUAGCUGCACAACAAAACCAAAAUUGCAGCAAGAAUCCCCUCUUCUACAAUCUCCAACACCACUUUGAACAAUCCUCAAAGUGCAUUAUCCCCCUAUAUCACAACAGGUACAAUUCCAGCAGUCUUCACAGGAUGCCAAGCCUUCAACACGAUCAAACAGAUGCACCUUUCUUGUGCAGGUAAUGAUUAGCAAGUGUAAGCGCACAAUGUCUCCUCAAUGAAUCUCGUUUAACAAAGAUCACAACCAUCUUCUUGGAGAAUUCUUGGAGCUAAGAGAAAUCUGAAACAUAAAUGAAAUUGUCAGUUUAUCAAAAGUCUCUGAACAAACCUGUGUUUAGUCUAUUUAUAUAUUUUUGUUAUAUAGUCAGAUUCUCAGUCGAAUGUGCUACUAAUUCAGUCGACUGUAUUAUAACAGUUAUAACAGUUCAGUCAACAUAGUAGCUCACGGUCAACAAAUAACAAAACACAUUCAAUACAGUUGACCAGGUCAUCAAUGUUAAACUAACUUUUAAAAAUAUAGCCGUUAGAGUGCAAGAGCAUAACAAAAUUUUAAAUCAGACAAAAGAUAUAGUCGAAUACGUAAACCACAUAGUCGACAUCAACCAUGUAAAACAUUUUGAAAUUCUUUUCUUCUCAAAAUUACACAUAGCACUGAUCCUCAAAAUCUGCACAAAGACUUUAGCAUAGUCGAAUCCAUUCACAAUGUAAUCGACUGUACUAGAACUUUGUCACACAGUUAAAAGUUCAUAAAAGUGCUUGUGUUUUUUAGCUUUAAAACAUGUGCAGUAAAACAUAUUAAAUGAUGCAAAGCACAUAGCACAUAAAGCUUAUAAACACGUUCCAAAUAUAUAUCAAUCAGUCAGCAUAGGAACACGUAACAUAGUUCAUAAACAUGUUCAACAAAUAUAACAAUUAAUAUACAUAAGAACAUGUAAUAACAGUAAACAACAUAUGCAUGUUAUUAAGCAAUGUGUUGUCAUCAUCAAAAACUAGAUUGAUAUAAAAAUUGUGUUGUCAACAAUCUCCCCCUUUUUUUAUGAUGCACAACCAUGAUUAAUAACCAACCAUGUUUGCACAGUCUAAUUCAAAAAUGCAAAAUAUCAAGCAGAAUAUGAGAUAGAAUGAAAAUGCAUUUUUCCCUUUCAUAUUCUCCCCCUUUCAUUAGGCUUUCAUACAAUUUCUCAAAUCUCUCCCCCUUUGUGCAUUAGCAAAAAAAGGUAUGCUCUAGAUAUUUAUGCUGAAAUAUCAAACAGAGAUGCACCAAAACAAAAAUAUGCAAUAGUCAAUAUGUAGUGAUGCUCUCUUUAGCACAUUUAAAUCACAUGAAAAUGAUAACUCCCCCCUGAAGUGUAGGCAUGUGAAAUACAAUGUGUAAAAUGUGAUACUCCCCUUGUCAUCAUGCAUGGAUAUUCAUAUUAGAUCAGAUGCACAAUGCAGUGUAACAGAGAGUACACAAAGCAGUAUAGUACAAAUAUGUAUCAAAGAUAAGAUAGUAAAUAGAUUAGUCAUGCAAUGAUACAAUCAACAAUCUCACAAUAUUAUCUCAAAUAUGAUAUUUAAAGAACAAUUUAUAUAAGAGAUAAUAGCAGAUAUUCAGAAAUAAGCAAUCAAUGAAAGAAUAACCAAAUUCCAAAAUUGGAAUUUAUAACCCUGUUAUAGAACAGUCGAUUGUUGUAAUUCUCCAAUCGAAUAUAUUGCUUUCCAAUGUUGUUGAAUUUCACUUGUAAUUGCGAAAGCAAUGUUCUUCCUGCAAAACUUUCAAAAAUCCUUUCCAGAUCAAGCAUUUUAGUUAAGCAAGAAUUAUAAUCAAAAGUAACAGAAGUCAAAAUAUAAAGAUGUAAAAUUGUUCAAGCAUAUCCGACAUCACACAAAACAUAGUCGAAUUAAUCAAUCAGUAUAUCAGAUAUUAAACAAUCAGAUUAAAGCAAUUGGAUUGAUUGAAAAUACUAAUAUGAUUCCUUGAAAAAGAUAUUACAUGGAUAAGACCAGACAAGUAGAACAAAAGAAAACAAAAGAUGGCAUUAUAGGCCAUGUACAAAAGAUGACAAAGGAUAACAGAAGAUAUCAAAAGACUGAUAACUGUCUAAAAACUGUUAUUUUCAUACUUAAAUUUGAUACUAAAACAUACCCUUUAUGGCUUUGAAUGGGCUUAAAAUCAAGUAAAACACUUAGUUAAGUCUUGUGAGACUCAAAAGUUGGUUUUAGAGAUAUUAUGCUUGUUUUUACAUUGUUUUGCAGGGUUUAAAGGUGAAUUGAAGAUGGAAGUGAAGUAAGGUGGAUUUAGACCCAUGAAAGAAGGAGAAAAAUGACGAAAAGAAGGGUCAAGUGAGCCGCUGAGCGGCAGAAUGGACUGAUGAGCGCUCAGAACGAUUAGAGGGAAACCGCUCAGCGGCAAAACUGACCGUUGAGCAAUCAAAGCGGCUAGAGGGAAACAUAGGCGCCUGGGCGGUUGUUUGUUUUUAAUUGCUAGAUUCUGUAAUCUUUCUGUUAUCUUUUUAGGCUUAUACAUAGCCCCAUUACGAAUCAAAACACAUUCUUUUGGCAGAGAGAAACAUCUAGAGCUAUUCCACACACCUUGGAGGAGGUUCCUUGGAUGCUUAGGCUCCAAUCUACCAAGUUUAGGGUUAUUUCUUCCAUUCUUUCAUCAUAUUUCAUCUAGUUUCACCAUGAUUACGGUGAACUAAACCCUAGGUUGUUGGGGAACAAUGUAAUCUUUUGAAACUCUAAUAUAUCCAAAUUCUUAUUUAUUUUAUAUGCUUGCAUAUGCUUGAUUUAUCAAUUGUUGGGUUCUUCACCUUUGCUUAAUGCUUUUAUCGUUUAACUCAUUCGGCAAAUGUUGUUUGUCUUUAUUGAUACGGGGAUGUACAAUAAUGUCAUGAACUGGUGUUGAAUUCCUUGAUUAUGUUAAUACCGCCUAGGGAUAGGGGUAGGACGAUAAAUUGUAUUUUGCUUCCGUUUAUCAUGCAUUAUUAAUUACUAAGGAAGGCUAGGGAUAGCAAGCCGGUAAUUAGUAAUUGGCUCUUUUCACCAAGGGAUUGGGUUAAGGGUAGACUAAGAAAGUUUGCAUGACAAUAUGAUAAAUAAGCAAAUUAAAUAAGAAGAGUAGAUAUAUGAGGGUGAAUAAGAUGAAAUUGUAAACCCCAAAACUCCAUUCAUCCAUAGUUUCUUAAAGCCAAUUGAAUCAUUGCAUUUGCAUGUUUACUUUUGUUCUUUGCAUUAACAACUCAAUUUAAUUCUUUUCUCAAGUCUUACGCAAUUUGUUUACAUGAAAAGUAAGGCCUAAGAGUCCUUUGGGAAACGAUACUUUGACUUACCCAUUUAUAUUACUUG